CAGGAUAAGCUGCAGUGUUAGAGCUGCAGCUCUCCCCCACGUGGAUGUUUGUGGCCCAGAGACACGGGCCCAUCUUUAAGGCCCAGAGACACGGGCCCAUCUUUAAGGCCUAACUCCUGCUGAUCCUAAUGGGCCCGACAGUGGCAAACUGCUUGCACAGAAAUGCUCCUUCACAUUCGAACACUGGAUUCCCUCUAAUGAAAAACCACAUCAUGAAAUCUCUGAAAGGCCAAAAAAAAAAAAAAAUCAUAGCAUCACUGAUUUUCGUUAUAACUGUCACACCAUGGAUUCAGCUCCUUCAACCAUUUGUUAUAAGGCCUUCAACGCACCCUUUUCCCCACCACCGCUCGCUGACACGGGAACACGGUCACAGUACCCAGCGAUCUGCAAUACUCCUGGAUGCUCUUGUACCUGAAUGGUCUCAGUAUAUGAGAAAAGCAAAGCCUACACAACUUUACAUAUUAGGUUUCUGAAGCGUGUGAUGAAUGGGAUGCUGUGCAGCUGAAAGAGCACAAGUCUCAAAUGGCUCACGCGGGGUUCUCAUAGUGAACUGGCUGUGAGUUGCAGCUCUCUGACAAGGGGAAUGGUUGCUUUUCCCUCGGAGGAACACUGUAAGUCCUAAAUGCAA
Molecule: long non-coding RNA, 628 nt
Filed under: Dromaius novaehollandiae (emu)
Lineage: Eukaryota; Metazoa; Chordata; Aves; Casuariiformes; Dromaiidae
Description: lncRNA (ENSDNVG00000002193.1)
Source: RNAcentral